This 410-nucleotide ribosomal RNA is filed under the name uncultured Lactobacillus sp. Its description in RNAcentral is "bacterial SSU rRNA". It matches the Rfam family "Bacterial small subunit ribosomal RNA", at positions 29 to 410 of the family's 1533-position model. Lineage: Bacteria; Bacillati; Bacillota; Bacilli; Lactobacillales; Lactobacillaceae. The record is from RNAcentral.
AUGAACGCUGGCGGCGUGCCUAAUACAUGCAAGUCGAACGAGUUCUCGUUGAUGAUCGGUGCUUGCACCGAGAUUCAACAUGGAACGAGUGGCGGACGGGUGAGUAACACGUGGGUAACCUGCCCUUAAGUGGGGGAUAACAUUUGGAAACAGAUGCUAAUACCGCAUAGAUCCAAGAACCGCAUGGUUCUUGGCUGAAAGAUGGCGUAAGCUAUCGCUUUUGGAUGGACCCGCGGCGUAUUAGCUAGUUGGUGAGGUAAUGGCUCACCAAGGCAAUGAUGCAUAGCCGAGCUGAGAGGCUGAUCGGCCACAUUGGGACUGAGACACGGCCCAGACUCCUACGGGAGGCAGCAGUAGGGAAUCUUCCACAAUGGGCGCAAGCCUGAUGGAGCAACGCCGCGUGAGUGAAG